AACGCUGGCGGCAGGCCUAACACAUGCAAGUCGAGCGGUAGCACAGAGAGCUUGCUCUCGGGUGACGAGCGGCGGACGGGUGAGUAAUGUCUGGGAAACUGCCUGAUGGAGGGGGAUAACUACUGGAAACGGUAGCUAAUACCGCAUAAUGUCGCAAGACCAAAGUGGGGGACCUUCGGGCCUCAUGCCAUCAGAUGUGCCCAGAUGGGAUUAGCUAGUAGGUGGGGUAACGGCUCACCUAGGCGACGAUCCCUAGCUGGUCUGAGAGGAUGACCAGCCACACUGGAACUGAGACACGGUCCAGACUCCUACGGGAGGCAGCAGUGGGGAAUAUUGCACAAUGGGCGCAAGCCUGAUGCAGCCAUGCCGCGUGUGUGAAGAAGGCCUUCGGGUUGUAAAGCACUUUCAGCGGGGAGGAAGGCGGUAAGGUUAAUAACCUCAUCGAUUGACGUUACCCGCAGAAGAAGCACCGGCUAACUCCGUGCCAGCAGCCGCGGUAAUACGGAGGGUGCAAGCGUUAAUCGGAAUUACUGGGCGUAAAGCGCACGCAGGCGGUCUGUCAAGUCGGAUGUGAAAUCCCCGGGCUCAACCUGGGAACUGCAUUCGAAACUGGCAGGCUAGAGUCUUGUAGAGGGGGGUAGAAUUCCAGGUGUAGCGGUGAAAUGCGUAGAGAUCUGGAGGAAUACCGGUGGCGAAGGCGGCCCCCUGGACAAAGACUGACGCUCAGGUGCGAAAGCGUGGGGAGCAAACAGGAUUAGAUACCCUGGUAGUCCACGCCGUAAACGAUGUCGAUUUGGAGGUUGUGCCCUUGAGGCGUGGCUUCCGGAGCUAACGCGUUAAAUCGACCGCCUGGGGAGUACGGCCGCAAGGUUAAAACUCAAAUGAAUUGACGGGGGCCCGCACAAGCGGUGGAGCAUGUGGUUUAAUUCGAUGCAACGCGAAGAACCUUACCUGGUCUUGACAUCCACAGAACUUUCCAGAGAUGGAUUGGUGCCUUCGGGAACUGUGAGACAGGUGCUGCAUGGCUGUCGUCAGCUCGUGUUGUGAAAUGUUGGGUUAAGUCCCGCAACGAGCGCAACCCUUAUCCUUUGUUGCCAGCGGUCCGGCCGGGAACUCAAAGGAGACUGCCAGUGAUAAACUGGAGGAAGGUGGGGAUGACGUCAAGUCAUCAUGGCCCUUACGACCAGGGCUACACACGUGCUACAAUGGCAUAUACAAAGAGAAGCGACCUCGCGAGAGCAAGCGGACCUCAUAAAGUAUGUCGUAGUCCGGAUUGGAGUCUGCAACUCGACUCCAUGAAGUCGGAAUCGCUAGUAAUCGUAGAUCAGAAUGCUACGGUGAAUACGUUCCCGGGCCUUGUACACACCGCCCGUCACACCAUGGGAGUGGGUUGCAAAAGAAGUAGGUAGCUUAACCUUCGGGAGGGCGCUUACCACUUUGUGAUUCAUGACUGGGGUGAAGUCGUAACAAGGUAACCGUAGGGGAACC
Molecule: ribosomal RNA, 1488 nt
Filed under: Klebsiella sp. ok1_1_9_S45
Lineage: Bacteria; Pseudomonadati; Pseudomonadota; Gammaproteobacteria; Enterobacterales; Enterobacteriaceae
Description: bacterial SSU rRNA
Rfam family: Bacterial small subunit ribosomal RNA
Source: RNAcentral